GACAGAGGGUGCAAACGUUGUUCGGAAUUACUGGGCGUAAAGCGCGUGUAGGCGGUUCGGAAAGUCGGAUGUGAAAGCCCUGGGCUCAACCCAGGAAGUGCACUCGAAACUUCCGAACUUGAGUUCUGGAGAGGAAGGCGGAAUUCUUGGUGUAGAGGUGAAAUUCGUAGAUAUCAGGAAGAACACCGGUGGCGAAGGCGGCCUUCUGGACAGAAACUGACGCUGAGACGCGAAAGCGUGGGGAGCAAACAGG
This 253-nucleotide ribosomal RNA is filed under the name uncultured bacterium. RNAcentral's name for it is "partial 16S ribosomal RNA". It matches the Rfam family "Bacterial small subunit ribosomal RNA", at positions 524 to 776 of the family's 1533-position model. The record is from RNAcentral.